UGGGGAAUCUUCCGCAAUGGACGAAAGUCUGACGGAGCAACGCCGCGUGAGUGAUGACGGCCUUCGGGUUGUAAAGCUCUGUUAAUCGGGACGAAUGGUUCUUGUGCGAAUAGUGCAAGGAUUUGACGGUACCGGAAUAGAAAGCCACGGCUAACUACGUGCCAGCAGCCGCGGUAAUACGUAGGUGGCAAGCGUUGUCCGGAAUUAUUGGGCGGAAAGCGCGCGCAGGCGGAUUGGUCAGUCUGUCUUAAAAGUUCGGGGCUUAACCCCGUGAUGGGAUGGAAACUGCCAAUCUAGAGUAUCGGAGAGGAAAGUGGAAUUCCUAGUGUAGCGGUGAAAUGCGUAGAUAUUAGGAAGAACACCAGUGGCGAAGGCGACUUUCUGGACGAAAACUGACGCUGAGGCGCGAAAGCCAGGGGAGCGAACGGG
RNAcentral lists this ribosomal RNA (429 nucleotides) under bacterium. RNAcentral describes it as "partial 16S ribosomal RNA". It matches the Rfam family "Bacterial small subunit ribosomal RNA", at positions 355 to 776 of the family's 1533-position model. The record is from RNAcentral.